UAGUCUAGUUUUGCCCUUGGCGUCUGCAACUCCGAUCGAAUCCGAACAAAAUCAUGGCGGCUCGCUCGCUCCAUCGCUGACUCUCUCCGAAUCGACGACGGCGGUGAAAACAACGCCUCACCAAACGCUAGACAAUCUGAACUCACAGAAAACGAAGAAGAAGAAGAAGAUGACGAGGAUGAGGAUGAGGAUGAAGAAGCAGAUGAGGAUCGAACUGGUCGUGGCGUGAGAGAAGAUCUAUCGGAAUUUACAGAAACCCUAACUCGCCAACUAUGGGGCGUCGCUUCGUUCCUCGCUCCUCCUCCUCCUCCCCCGCCUCGCCACCGCGUCCAGCGACCGAUCGCCUAUCGGAAUCGGUGGGAUCCGUCGGAUCCGUCUAGUUCCGGAGACGAUUCCGUGGGUGAAACUUCAUUUCAGUCGGUAUUUCCAAUC
This 432-nucleotide long non-coding RNA is filed under the name Actinidia chinensis (golden kiwifruit). RNAcentral's name for it is "long non-coding RNA (ACHI_LNC006922)". Lineage: Eukaryota; Viridiplantae; Streptophyta; Magnoliopsida; Ericales; Actinidiaceae. The record is from RNAcentral.